Molecule: non-coding RNA, 50 nt
Filed under: Caballeronia telluris
Lineage: Bacteria; Pseudomonadati; Pseudomonadota; Betaproteobacteria; Burkholderiales; Burkholderiaceae
Description: Burkholderia telluris Guanidine-II sequence
Rfam family: Guanidine-II riboswitch aptamer (mini-ykkC)
About the family: Simpler in structure and has fewer highly conserved nucleotide positions than the ykkC-yxkD leader. Despite this each of its two stem-loop structures directly bind free guanidine.
Source: Rfam by way of RNAcentral
UGCCGGGGACGACCCCGGAAAACAUCUUUUCACGUGGCGGGACGGCCCGC